This 719-nucleotide long non-coding RNA is filed under the name Fukomys damarensis (Damara mole-rat). RNAcentral describes it as "lncRNA (ENSFDAG00000024817.1)". Lineage: Eukaryota; Metazoa; Chordata; Mammalia; Rodentia; Bathyergidae. The record is from RNAcentral.
ACAGAUUUUUCUGUUGUGGAGCAGAGAUAAGCAAGACGGCAGGGUGACAGGACCCUCCAGGCAGCUGUGUCCACCACUCUGAUGCUGUCUCCCUCAGCUGGGUCUUCAUCUCCAGCAGGGGGUCCAGCCAGGGUGACAGCAAGAGAUCCUCAGUCCCUGCCCUCUGGAGAAGUCCAUGAACCCACAGGAAGCCAAACAGCACAACAAAGGAAAGCCGGCUGCUCUCCUCUGGAAGCCCGUCUCAUUGUCAUCUGAGCUGGUGAGUGAGAGACUGUCCUAGUAGGCUCCUGGUGUCUUCACACUGCUGCCUCCAGUCGGUGAGUGGAACUCUGGCAACGCUUCCUCAGGCCCUCUCCAAGCCAGCUAGGACAGUUCCUUGGCCAAUAGGCAACUCCCAGAAACCACCCUCAGUUUUGAUACCAUACCUCUCAUUCUCCAUGAGGGCCUGGCCAUUCCUUGCUUUGAUACCUUCUUGGGAAGAUACUGCUUCUUUCUUAGCUCAGUAGAGCCCUUUCUUUCUGCUGUUUAAACUGUGCUUUAUGGUCAUUACUGAUUUAACUAUGUCCUAGACCAGACAGGAACAGGUGUGUGAGGGCAACCUGUGUAUUUGUCUUACUCCUUUUGGGAGUCCCAGACUUUGGUAUAGUGUCCUUGGCUAGGAGGCACUCAAUAAAUGGUGACUGGGUGAAUUAGUCAAAGCAAAAGUUUCAGAGUUGGGG